CUCUCCAGACAGACAGCCACCCUGUCACUGACACCAGGUUGACAGCUGUUGUUUGUUACUUAUGCUGAGUAAGACAAUCAGCCCAGCAGGAACACUUGGAACAUGAAUGCCAGUUAAUUAAUUCUGUGUACAGAGAAUUUGAAUGCAUUGCCUUGAAGAACACAAUGGACAAAACAGCUAUGGGGAAUCACUCAAACGAAAAUUGUGGUGACUCCUUCUUCAAUUGAGGACAAUCCAAAGUUGCUUGAGUUCCCCAGACUUGCCUCCUUAUCAACGAAUAAUCAGCUCUGGGGCUCCCUCUAGUGACCACAGCACUGAGAGCUGUGUUUCUGUCGGAGGGGUGAGAAAGCGUAACCAGAGACCCUCACAGCACGUUGGUGAGGUCUCUCCUGGGGCUGGGCUACCUCCGUAGGGUCACCGAGCAUCAGGUCGUCUGCAUUCCACACUGGACAUCUGAUAGGCCCCAUCCGAGUGUCCCUGUCACAGCCCAUCAUCUCUAUAAGGGCCCCAGAGGGAGAGCUGGUCUUGGGGCUUCUCCAUCGUCUGCACCACAGAGCCACAGGAGUACCAAGGAGGCUCUUUCCACCUCACCUCUGAUGGGUCAGCUGAGAUCUGGACUGAGCUGGCUGUCAAUCACUCUGCAUCUUUCUACUUUCCUAAGGCAGACUUUAUCCUUGCAGGGAACUACAGCUGCAUCUAUGAGGUCACUUUGGCCACACGUCUGUUCACCUCAGGAAAGACAGAUGUGCUUUGUGUGAUCAUAAGAGCACUGACUUGGAGUGGUCUUACCAUAUGGCAUCUGCACAUCCCUCUGUGUUGUAUGGAGCAACACUUGGGCUGUUGCUUCUCCUGAUGCUUCUGUGCUCAGUGCUACUGUUGAACAAAAAGAAGGCUAAAUAUGUGGUCAAUGAGGAGCACUGGCCCAUGAGUUCAUUUGAAGUACCGCAGAGUUCAUACCAUAUGAAGACAAAGAAGAUACCAAAUCCGAUGGAUGAAGAACAUGUCCUCCAUGAAUUUUCAUUGUUAGUUGACCUCAGUAUAUAGUUGUGGUUAAAGAUUUAUGUUUUUGCUUCACUGAUUUGAUUGUUGUGCCAUAUUUGUCAGAAUUAAUCCUCUAUUUAUUGUUCAUUGCAGUUUUUCUCAACAGUAAUGGUAGAAAUUAUUAAGGAUCUAAGCAGAGAAACUUGGGCGGUGGGUAGUAUAGUGGUUAAGGAGCUGGGCUAGCAUGUAGUAGCCUUGAAAGUUGUGGAUUCAAUUCCAGGCUUCCACCAUUGUGCCCUUGAGCAAGGCACUUAACCCCAAAUUGUUCCGUGGACAAUGUAGUUGUGAAGUGUCUGCUAAAUUAAUAAAUGUAAAUGUCACUUCUAUUUUUUUUAAAGGAUUCUUAAAGGAGAAAUCCGUCGAUUAUUCGCAUAGAUCUACAUUUCUCAAGGUCACGAGUACCGACAGUACAAACCCCCCCCAAAACAACCGGUUGGACUUUUCUUGAGUUGCUGCAGCCAACAGCUAAACCAGGCAGGCAGCUACA
This is a long non-coding RNA of Alosa sapidissima (American shad), 1528 nucleotides long. RefSeq lists it as uncharacterized. NCBI's taxonomy places the organism in Eukaryota, Metazoa, Chordata, Actinopteri, Clupeiformes, Clupeidae. The record is from RefSeq and is a predicted model, not a curated record. The transcript is spliced from 4 exons.